Molecule: transfer RNA, 77 nt
Filed under: Provencibacterium sp.
Lineage: Bacteria; Bacillati; Bacillota; Clostridia; Eubacteriales; Oscillospiraceae
Description: tRNA-Val
Rfam family: tRNA
About the family: Transfer RNA (tRNA) molecules are approximately 80 nucleotides in length. Their secondary structure includes four short double-helical elements and three loops (D, anti-codon, and T loops).
Source: RNAcentral
GGGAGCAUAGCUCAGCUGGUUAGAGUGCCUGCUUGACAUGCAGGAGGUCGAUGGUUCGAGCCCAUUUGUUCCCACCA